GUUAGGAUGAGAUUGAGAGAGAGGAUGAGAGAGGAGGAUGGGAGGGAUAAGUAACAAAAGUGAAAACAAUUUCAAAUAGAUUUCAGUUUUUACUUUCUGUUUUCACUUUUGUUACUCCUCCCUCCCAUCAUUCCCUCUCAUCUUCCCUCUCAAUCCCAUCUUCAUU
RNAcentral lists this microRNA precursor (166 nucleotides) under Prunus dulcis (almond). Its description in RNAcentral is "sRNA ncRNA". The record is from RNAcentral. Lineage: Eukaryota; Viridiplantae; Streptophyta; Magnoliopsida; Rosales; Rosaceae.